This 458-nucleotide ribosomal RNA is filed under the name Aeromonas hydrophila. Its description in RNAcentral is "bacterial SSU rRNA". It matches the Rfam family "Bacterial small subunit ribosomal RNA", at positions 62 to 506 of the family's 1533-position model. Lineage: Bacteria; Pseudomonadati; Pseudomonadota; Gammaproteobacteria; Aeromonadales; Aeromonadaceae. The record is from RNAcentral.
CACGAGCGGCAGCGGGAAAGUAGCUUGCUACUUUUGCCGGGGAGCGGCGGACGGGUGAGUAAUGCCUGGGGAUCUGCCCAGUCGAGGGGGAUAACUACUGGAAACGGUAGCUAAUACCGCAUACGCCCUACGGGGGAAAGCAGGGGACCUUCGGGCCUUGCGCGAUUGGAUGAACCCAGGUGGGAUUAGCUAGUUGGUGAGGUAAUGGCUCACCAAGGCGACGAUCCCUAGCUGGUCUGAGAGGAUGAUCAGCCACACUGGAACUGAGACACGGUCCAGACUCCUACGGGAGGCAGCAGUGGGGAAUUUUGCACAAUGGGGGAAACCCUGAAGCAGCCAUGCCGCGUGUGUGAAGAAGGCCUUCGGGUUGUAAAGGACUUUCAGCGAGGAGGAAAGGUCGGUAGCUAAUAUCUGCUGGCUGUGACGUUACUCGCAGAAGAAGCACCGGCUAACACCGA